Molecule: ribosomal RNA, 839 nt
Filed under: uncultured bacterium
Lineage: Bacteria
Description: bacterial SSU rRNA
Rfam family: Bacterial small subunit ribosomal RNA
Source: RNAcentral
UGCAAGUCGAACGGGAGUAUUGAAGAAGCUUGCUUUAGAGAUACUUUAGUGGCGGACGGGUGAGUAACGCGUGAGGAGCUGUCCUAUGCAGGGGGACAACAGCUGGAAACGGCUGCUAAUACCCCAUAAGCCGAGAGGUAAAAGGAUCAAUCCGGCAGAGGAGGUACUCGCGUCCUAUCAGCUAGUAGGUGAGGUAACGGCUCACCUAGGCGAAGACGGGUAGCCGGCCUGAGAGGGUGGCCGGCCACACUGGGACUGAGAUACGGCCCAGACUCCUACGGGGGGCAGCAGUGGGGAAUCUUGCACAAUGGGCGAAAGCCUGAUGCAGCAACGCCGCGUGAGGGAAGAAGGUUUUCGGAUCGUAAACCUCUGUCCAGAGGGAAGAAGUAAGUGACGGUACCUUUGGGGGAAGCCCCGGCUAACUACGUGCCAGCAGCCGCGGUAAUACGUAGGGGGCAAGCGUUGUCCGGAAUUAUUGGGCGUAAAGGGCGCGUAGGCGGUGACACAAGUCAGGUGAUAAAGGCACGGGCUCAACCGGUGUUAGGCACUUGAAACUGUGUUGCUAGAGUGCAGGAGAGGGGAGUGGAAUUCCAGGUGUAGCGGUGAAAUGCGUAGAUAUCUGGAAGAACACCAGUGGCGAAGGCGGCUCUCUGGACUGUAACUGACGCUGAGGCGCGAAAGCUGGGGGAGCAAACAGGAUUAGAUACCCUGGUAGUCCCAGCCGUAAACGAUGAACACUAGGUGUAGGGGGUAUCGACCCCCCCUGUGCCGGAGCUAACGCAAUAAGUGUUCCGCCUGGGGAGUACGGCCGCAAGGUUGAAACUCAAAGGAAUUGACGG